Nematostella vectensis (starlet sea anemone) is the source of this 280-nucleotide long non-coding RNA. RefSeq lists it as uncharacterized. The record is from RefSeq and is a predicted model, not a curated record. Lineage: Eukaryota; Metazoa; Cnidaria; Anthozoa; Actiniaria; Edwardsiidae. The transcript has 2 exons.
CGUCCGCAAAAACAACAUGGCGGACAUAGUGAAGAAGGCAUACGAUUUUUUAAAAAUGAACGCAUUUUGCCUUUAUCCAGCAACUUCGGAGCGUCAAAUUAGCGAACAAGCAUGGGCGAAGACAUAGAAAUCAAGACCUAUCCCCACAUCCUCUUAAGUAUGUUUCUUCAAACAAUUUCAAUUGACGUAUGCAGACAACCUGGUGUUUAACGUGUGUGACAAUGCACCUGCCGAAGACCUAGAGAAGUGCCCUGACAUGAAAUAAAUUAUCUUUCUGAUU